UUUCCGCAGGUGAACCUGCGGAAGGAUCAUUAUUGUAUAACCGAGGUGCGAGGGCUGUCGCUGACCCGAAAGGUCGUGCACGCCCGAGUGCCCUCACACACAUCCAUCUCACCCCUAUGUGCACCACCGCGUGGGUCCCCCUUUGGCUUGUUCGGAGGGGGGCUUACGUUUUCACACAAACUUUGUAUGCAGUGUAGAAUGUAUUUUUUGUUUUUGCGAUCACGCAAUCAAUACAACUUUCAACAACGGAUCUCUUGGCUCUC
RNAcentral lists this unclassified non-coding RNA (263 nucleotides) under plant metagenome. Its description in RNAcentral is "partial contains small subunit ribosomal RNA, internal transcribed spacer 1, and 5.8S ribosomal RNA". The record is from RNAcentral.